GCUCAGGACGAACGCUGGCGGCGUGCCUAAUACAUGCAAGUCGAGCGGACAGAUGGGAGCUUGCUCCCUGAUGUUAGCGGCGGACGGGUGAGUAACACGUGGGUAACCUGCCUGUAAGACUGGGAUAACUCCGGGAAACCGGGGCUAAUACCGGAUGGUUGUUUGAACCGCAUGGUUCAAACAUAAAAGGUGGCUUCGGCUACCACUUACAGAUGGACCCGCGGCGCAUUAGCUAGUUGGUGAGGUAACGGCUCACCAAGGCGACGAUGCGUAGCCGACCUGAGAGGGUGAUCGGCCACACUGGGACUGAGACACGGCCCAGACUCCUACGGGAGGCAGCAGUAGGGAAUCUUCCGCAAUGGACGAAAGUCUGACGGAGCAACGCCGCGUGAGUGAUGAAGGUUUUCGGAUCGUAAAGCUCUGUUGUUAGGGAAGAACAAGUACCGUUCGAAUAGGGCGGUACCUUGACGGUACCUAACCAGAAAGCCACGGCUAACUACGUGCCAGCAGCCGCGGUAAUACGUAGGUGGCAAGCGUUGUCCGGAAUUAUUGGGCGUAAAGGGCUCGCAGGCGGUUUCUUAAGUCUGAUGUGAAAGCCCCCGGCUCAACCGGGGAGGGUCAUUGGAAACUGGGGAACUUGAGUGCAGAAGAGGAGAGUGGAAUUCCACGUGUAGCGGUGAAAUGCGUAGAGAUGUGGAGGAACACCAGUGGCGAAGGCGACUCUCUGGUCUGUAACUGACGCUGAGGAGCGAAAGCGUGGGGAGCGAACAGGAUUAGAUACCCUGGUAGUCCACGCCGUAAACGAUGAGUGCUAAGUGUUAGGGGGUUUCCGCCCCUUAGUGCUGCAGCUAACGCAUUAAGCACUCCGCUGGAGA
Molecule: ribosomal RNA, 875 nt
Filed under: Bacillus subtilis
Lineage: Bacteria; Bacillati; Bacillota; Bacilli; Caryophanales; Bacillaceae
Description: bacterial SSU rRNA
Rfam family: Bacterial small subunit ribosomal RNA
Source: RNAcentral